This 1876-nucleotide long non-coding RNA is filed under the name Mytilus galloprovincialis (Mediterranean mussel). The record is from RNAcentral. Lineage: Eukaryota; Metazoa; Mollusca; Bivalvia; Mytilida; Mytilidae.
UAACUCAAAAACCAAAGCAUUUAGAGCAAAUCUGACAUGGGGGUAAAGUUAUUCAUCAGGUCAAGAUCUAUCUGCCCUGAAAUUUUCAGAUGAAUCGGACAUUCUGUUGUAGGGUUGCUGCCCUGAAAUGGUAAUUUUAAGGAAAUUUUGCUGUUUUUGGUUAUUAUCUUGAAUAUUAUUAUAGAUAGAGAUAAACUGUAAACAGCAAUAAUGUUCAGCAAAGUACGAUCUACUAAUAAGUCAACAUGACCAAAAUGGUCAGUUGACCAUUUUAGGAGUUAUUGCCCUUUAUAGUCAAUUUUUAACCAUUUUUCGUAAAUCUUAGUAAUCUUUUAGAAAAAUCUUCUCCUCUGAAACUACUGAGCCAAAUUUAACCAAACUUAGCCAUAAUCAUCAUUGGGGUAUCUAGUUAAAAAAAUGUGUCCGGUAACUCGGCCAACAAACCAAGAUGGCCGCCAUGGCUAAAAAUAGAACAUGGGGGUAAAAUGCAGUUAUUGGCUUAUAACUCAAAAACCAAAGCAUUAAGAGCAAAUCUGACAGGAAGUAAAAUUGUUGAUCAGGUCACGAUCUAUCUGCCCUGGAAUUUUCAGAUGAAUCGGAUAAUCGUUUGUUAGGUUGCUGCCCCUGAAUUGGUAAUUUUAAGGAAAUUUUGCUGUUUUUUUUGUUAUUAUCUUGAAUAUUAUUAUAGAUAGAGAUAAACUGUAAACAGCAAUAAUGUACAGCAAAGUAAGAACUAAAAAUAAGUCAGUAUGACCAAAAUAGUCAAUUGACCCCCUAAGGAGUUAUUGCCCUUCAUAAUCAAUUUUUAACAAUUUUCUUAAAAUUUGAAGAUUUUCAAUAACAUUUUCCACAGAAAGUACUGUUAUAGAUAGAGAUAAUUGUAAGCAGCAAGAAUGUUUAGUAAAGUAAGAUCUACAAACACAUCACCAUCACCAAAACACAAUUUUGUCAUGAAUCCAUCUGUGUCCAUUGUUUAAUAUUCACAUAGACCAAGGUGAGCGAUACAGGCUCUUUAGAGCCUCUAGUUUCACAGAAGUUUUUCUUUACACAGAUAUGUAAAAUGCCCUUUGUGAUGCUUAUCUGGUUUAGUAGAAUUACAUGUAAAACAAGUGAUCAACAAAAUUAAAUCUACAAAACUGCCUAUAUAAAGACCAAAUUCAUUGGAUGAUUUUCUUCUGAGUUAUUGCCCUUUAAUGACAAUAUUUGACUUAUUUUGAAGGUGUUGUGUAUUUCAAUUUUUAUCAGGUGUUCCAGGAGCCUUUUGUUUACUAUUAGUAUGACUAAAAACCGUCCCACUCAUAAAAUUGAAUAAAUUUGUUGAAAAAAAUUGUUUUAGGUCCUAUUUAUGAGCCUGUUUUUCAGUCUUGUAUGCCUGUUUGUUGGUCAAUUUGUGUGUCUGUCCCGAUUCAGGUUAAAAAAAAUUUGAUUAAAAGUUUUUGGUCAAGGUUGUUUUUGAUGAAGUUGAGGUCCAAUCAAUUUGAGACUUAGUACACAUGUUCCUUAUGAUAAAAUCUUCCAAUUUUAAUGCCUAAUUAGAGUUUUGACCCCCCCCCCCCCCCCCCAAUUUUAGGUUCCACUAAAUGUAGAAAAUGUAUGUGCAAGGGGGGCAUCCGCACUACGGACACAUUCUUGUUAUGUUGUUGAUAAUAACUGUUUCGGAUUAAGAAACUAGGUGGUAGUAACAUUUACAUUUUCUAACAAACUAUGAAGUUUUAUAUUCAUACACAUGCAGGGAUAUACGCAUUCUGAAGCUUAAAAUAUAUGUGAAAUACUGACAAAAGUAUUAAGAGACUAGUAACUGUGAUUUUUAGCUAGUUGUAGUUUAAAUUGUAACAUAAGAUUUUGAAUUUUUGUUUUUAUACAAUUUUUCCAAAAA